This 230-nucleotide ribosomal RNA is filed under the name uncultured bacterium. Its description in RNAcentral is "partial 16S ribosomal RNA". It matches the Rfam family "Bacterial small subunit ribosomal RNA", at positions 111 to 334 of the family's 1533-position model. The record is from RNAcentral.
UAAUACAUAAGUAACCUGCCCUAGACAGGGGGAUAACUAUUGGAAACGAUAGCUAAGACCGCAUAGGUACGGACACUGCAUGGUGACCGUAUUAAAAGUGCCUCAAAGCACUGGUAGAGGAUGGACUUAUGGCGCAUUAGCUGGUUGGCGGGGUAACGGCCCACCAAGGCGACGAUGCGUAGCCGACCUGAGAGAGUGACCGGCCACACUGGGACUGAGACACGGCCCAG